AUGAACGCUGGCGGCGUGCUUAACACAUGCAAGUCGAACGAACCUUCGGGUUAGUGGCGGACGGGUGAGUAACGCGUGAGAAUCUGCCCUCAGGAGGGGGAUAACGGUUGGAAACGGCCGCUAAUACCCCAUAUGCCGCGAGGUGAAAUGAAUUUCGCCUGAGGAUGAGCUCGCGUCUGAUUAGCUAGUUGGUGGGGUAAUGGCCUACCAAGGCAUCGAUCAGUAGCUGGUCUGAGAGGAUGAUCAGCCACACUGGGACUGAGACACGGCCCAGACUCCUACGGGAGGCAGCAGUGGGGAAUUUUCCGCAAUGGGCGAAAGCCUGACGGAGCAACGCCGCGUGAGGGAUGAAGGCCUCUGGGCUGUAAACCUCUUUUAUCAAGGAAGAAGAUCUGACGGUACUUGAUGAAUAAGCCACGGCUAAUUCCGUGCCAGCAGCCGCGGUAAUACGGGAGUGGCAAGCGUUAUCCGGAAUUAUUGGGCGUAAAGCGUCCGCAGGCGGCCCUUCAAGUCUGCUGUUAAAACGUGGAGCUUAACUCCAUCAUGGCAGUGGAAACUGUUGGGCUUGAGUGUGGUAGGGGCAGAGGGAAUUCCCGGUGUAGCGGGUGAAAUGCGUAGAUAUCGGGAAGAACACCAGUGGCGAAGGCGCUCUGCUGGGCCAUCACUGACGCUCAUGGACGAAAGCCAGGGGAGCGAAAGGGAUUAGAUACCCCUGUAGUCCUGGCCGUAAACGAUGAACACUAGGUGUCGGGGGAAUCGACCCCCUCGGUGUCGUAGCCAACGCGUUAAGUGUUCCGCCUGGGGAGUACGCACGCAAGUGUGAAACUCAAAGGAAUUGACGGGGGCCCGCACAAGCGGUGGAGUAUGUGGUUUAAUUCGAUGCAACGCGAAGAACCUUACCAGGGUUUGACAUCCUGCGAAUCUCUUGGAAACGAGAGAGUGCCUUCGGGAACGCAGUGACAGGUGGUGCAUGGCUGUCGUCAGCUCGUGUCGUGAGAUGUUGGGUUAAGUCCCGCAACGAGCGCAACCCACGUCUUUAGUUGCCAGCAUUCAGUUGGGCACUCUAGAGAGACCGCCGGUGAUAAACCGGAGGAAGGUGUGGAUGACGUCAAGUCAUCAUGCCCCUUACAUCCUGGGCUACACACGUACUACAAUGCUACGGACAAAGGGCAGCAAGUUCGCGAGGACAAGCAAAUCCCAUAAACCGUGGCUCAGUUCAGAUCGUAGGCUGCAACUCGCCUACGUGAAGGAGGAAUCGCUAGUAAUCGCAGGUCAGCAUACUGCGGUGAAUACGUUCCCGGGCCUUGUACACACCGCCCGUCACACCAUGGAAGUUGGCCACGCCCGAAGCCGUUACUCCAACCCUUGUGGAGGAGGACGUCGAAGGUGGGGCUGAUGACUGGGGUGA
RNAcentral lists this ribosomal RNA (1408 nucleotides) under uncultured bacterium. Its description in RNAcentral is "bacterial SSU rRNA". It matches the Rfam family "Bacterial small subunit ribosomal RNA". The record is from RNAcentral.